GAUGAAGAACGUAGCGAAAUGCAAUAAGUAGUGUGAAUUGCAGAAUUCAGUGAAUCAUCGAAUCUUUGAACGCACAUUGCGCCCUUUGGUAUUCCUUAGGGCAUGCCUGUUCGAGCGUCAUUUAAACCUUCAAGCUAAGCUUGGUGUUGGGUGACUGUCCGCUUCACGGCGGACUCGCCUCAAAAUUAUUGGCGGCCGGUACAUUGGCUUCGAGCGCAGCAGAAACGCGAACUCGGGCCCGUCGUAUUGGCUCCCAGAAGCUAUCUUCACAAUUUUGACCUCGGAUCAGGUAGGGAUACCCGCUGAACUUAAGCAUAUCAAUAAGCGGAGGA
RNAcentral lists this unclassified non-coding RNA (332 nucleotides) under soil metagenome. Its description in RNAcentral is "partial contains 5.8S ribosomal RNA, internal transcribed spacer 2, and large subunit ribosomal RNA". The stretch from base 1 to 120 matches the Rfam family "5.8S ribosomal RNA", at positions 35 to 154 of the family's 154-position model. The record is from RNAcentral.